Molecule: transfer RNA, 89 nt
Filed under: Staphylococcus aureus
Lineage: Bacteria; Bacillati; Bacillota; Bacilli; Caryophanales; Staphylococcaceae
Description: tRNA-Arg(tcg)
Source: RNAcentral
GGGCUUAACGGCUCGCGGGGGNUGGAGCAGUUCGGUAGCUCGUCGGGCUCAUAACCGUUCGGUCGCAGGUUCGAGUCCUGCAAGGUCCA